RNAcentral lists this ribosomal RNA (587 nucleotides) under Pezizomycetes sp. BLD9. RNAcentral's name for it is "LSU rRNA". It matches the Rfam family "Eukaryotic large subunit ribosomal RNA", at positions 66 to 663 of the family's 3401-position model. The record is from RNAcentral. Lineage: Eukaryota; Fungi; Ascomycota; Pezizomycetes.
CAACAGGGAUUGCCUCAGUAACUGCGAGUGAAGCGGCAAAAGCUCAAAUUUGAAAUCUGGCCCGUCUCCGGCGGCCCGAGUUGUAAUUUGGAGGGGCAUCUUCAGGGGUGGGCGCCGUCCUAAGUUCCUUGGAACAGGACGUCACAGAGGGUGAGAAUCCCGUGCCUGGGCGGCUGUCCCGCUCCAUGUGAAGUGUCUCCGACGAGUCGAGUUGUUUGGGAAUGCAGCUCAAAAUGGGUGGUAAAUUUCAUCUAAAGCUAAAUAUUGGCGAGAGACCGAUAGCGCACAAGUAGAGUGAUCGAAAGAUGAAAAGCACUUUGAAAAGAGAGUUAAAAAGUACGUGAAAUUGUUGAAAGGGAAGCGCUUGAGAUCAGACUCGUCGGACGGCAACCAUCGGUGCUUCUGUGCCGUGCACUUGCCGACCGACGGGCCAGCAUCGGUUCUGGCGGCGGGAAAAAGGCUCGGGCAAUGUGGCUCUCUUCGGGGAGUGUUAUAGGCCCGGGUGUCAUACCGCCUGCUGGGACCGAGGACCGCGCUUCGGCUAGGAUGCUGGCGUAAUGGUCUUAAGCGACCCGUCUUGAAACACG